RNAcentral lists this ribosomal RNA (245 nucleotides) under uncultured Rhodocista sp. RNAcentral's name for it is "partial 16S ribosomal RNA". It matches the Rfam family "Bacterial small subunit ribosomal RNA", at positions 524 to 768 of the family's 1533-position model. The record is from RNAcentral. Lineage: Bacteria; Pseudomonadati; Pseudomonadota; Alphaproteobacteria; Rhodospirillales; Azospirillaceae.
UACGAAGGGGGCUAGCGUUGUUCGGAGUUACUGGGCGUAAAGGGCGCGUAGGCGGCGCAUCAAGUCAGGCGUGAAAGCCCUGGGCUCAACCCGGGAAUUGCGCUUGAGACUGGUGUGCUUGAGUACGGGAGAGGAUAGUGGAAUUCCCAGUGUAGAGGUGAAAUUCGUAGAUAUUGGGAAGAACACCGGUGGCGAAGGCGGCUAUCUGGACCGUAACUGACGCUGAGGCGCGAAAGCGUGGGGAG